CUUCAGCGACCCCAGCCACAGUGGCCGGUCCUCCGGCCGGUCCUGCCCGUAGGUCGCCAUCAGCGCCCGCACCUC
Molecule: antisense RNA, 75 nt
Filed under: Actinoalloteichus hymeniacidonis
Lineage: Bacteria; Bacillati; Actinomycetota; Actinomycetes; Pseudonocardiales; Pseudonocardiaceae
Description: ASpks TB sRNA
Rfam family: ASpks TB sRNA
Source: RNAcentral